GUGUGGCAAAGAUGGCUAGCUGUCCACAAAAAAAUGUUCCACCUUCUAGAAUAUCAUAGGUGUUUUUCAGAGGCAUCUUCCCAGGCAGUGAGUAUAUUCCCCAGUACCCUCUGGUAAUUUCAAGGUACAGUCAUGACUAGUUCACACCAACAAUUAUGAGCAAAAUGAUGUGUGUUAUUUCUGAGCCUGAAUCUUUAAAAGAGGCAGUUAUUUGCUCUUCACUCAGUUUCCCUCCACUGGUUGGAGCCUUGUGGAUGGUGGAGCAACAAGGUGGAAUGAUCCUGAGUCGUGGAACACUGUGUGGAAGGCCACCACCAGAUCCCAACACAGUUAAAUAGAUUUAAUGAACAAGUAGCUCAGUGUGGUAUCAUGACAGAUGAAGACCAGAGAAUGUAAAGAACUCGAUGAAGACAGAGAAGAGCCUAUGUCUUGGAUUUCUGGGGGGAAAGAGAUUGGUAACUACAACCUGAUUUGGAAAACUUCUGUUCAGAAAUCUCCCAUAUUCAUAUUACUCACAAUUCACUAUCCAGAGCCUGUGCCAGCAUGAAUUCAAAAGGACAGAAAGCAAAAUUCCCCUCCAGACAAGAGCUCUACAGUAAAAUUCUUUCAGGGUAGAGAAGCAAGUAUUUUGAACAAUAAUAUAUCAGAGUUGUCCAUAACAAUAUCCACUGCUAUGAUAGCUACUAUUAUUGUAAAAAAGGGCAUGGAUAAAUGUUGCCCUAGACUGAAAACAAUAAUUCUGAAAGAGAAGAAUAUAAAAUGUUCUAAUCAAUUCUUAGCAGGUAAUUUAAAGCCAUAUUAUGGAGAAGUAAUAUGGAUGAAAGAUCUUGUAGCUACAAAUAACACAGGAUAAUCAUGUCCAUUUCCACAUGGAAAAACAAAUGCUCACCAAAAUAUGACCACCACAUAUUUUCAACCCCCAUCAUGGAUGACCACAAACCAUAGUCAUUGGCUUCUUGUCCAGAUUUGUUCAGAAGAGCUUUGAUUGUGUGCAGUGAAAUUGAACCAUAUGAGAGGCUUUGUAGCAA
Odocoileus virginianus texanus is the source of this 1028-nucleotide non-coding RNA. The record is from RefSeq and is a predicted model, not a curated record. NCBI's taxonomy places the organism in Eukaryota, Metazoa, Chordata, Mammalia, Artiodactyla, Cervidae.